CGUGGCUCAGUUGGUAGAGCAAAUGACUCUUAAUCAUUGGGUCGUGGGUUCGAGCCCCACCGGG
This 64-nucleotide transfer RNA is filed under the name human gut metagenome. It matches the Rfam family "tRNA", at positions 6 to 65 of the family's 71-position model. Rfam says of the family: Transfer RNA (tRNA) molecules are approximately 80 nucleotides in length. Their secondary structure includes four short double-helical elements and three loops (D, anti-codon, and T loops). The record is from RNAcentral. RNAcentral also lists the same sequence under 4 other names.